RNAcentral lists this ribosomal RNA (715 nucleotides) under uncultured bacterium. RNAcentral's name for it is "bacterial SSU rRNA". It matches the Rfam family "Bacterial small subunit ribosomal RNA", at positions 1 to 730 of the family's 1533-position model. The record is from RNAcentral.
AUUAGAGUUUGAUCCUGGCUCAGGACGAACGCUGGCGGCGUGCUUAAUACAUGCAAGUCGAACGGAGCUUAGCUGAUAGUUUACUAGAGGCGAAAGCUUAGUGGCGGACGGGUGAGUAACGCGUGGGUAAUCUGCCCCUAAGUCCGGGAUAACAGAGCGAAAGUUCUGCUAAGACCGGAUAUACUUCUCUAAUUGCAUAAUCGGAGAAGGAAAGGUAACGCUUAGGGAUGAGCCCGCGUCCCAUUAGCUAGUUGGUGAGGUAACGGCCCACCAAGGCGACGAUGGGUAGCCGGCCUGAGAGGGUGGACGGCCACACUGGGACUGAGACACGGCCCAGACUCCUACGGGAGGCAGCAGUAGGGAAUUUUCCGCAAUGGGCGCAAGCCUGACGGAGCAACGCCGCGUGAGGGACGAAGGUCUUCGGAUCGUAAACCUUUGUCAAUGAGGACGAUAAUGACGGUACUCGAUGAGGAAGCCCCGGCUAACUACGUGCCAGCAGCCGCGGUAACACGUAGGGGGCGAGCGUUGUCCGGAAUUACUGGGCGUAAAGGGCGCGUAGGCGGCCUAAUAAGUCAAAUGUGAAACCCCUGGGCUUAACCCUGGGCUUGCAUUAGAAACUGUUGGGCUUGAGGGCAGGAGAGGAAAGCGGAAUUCCCAGUGUAGCGGUGAAAUGCGUAGAUAUUGGGAGGAACACCAGUGGCGAAGGCGGCUUUCU